AAAGCCAGAACCAGUCAUGCCGCGUGCAGGAUGAAGGCCCUACGGGUCGUAAACUGCUUUUAUUCGGGAAGAAAAAGUCUGUUUCCACAGACCUUGACGGUACCGAUUGAAUAAGGACCGGCCAACUCCGUGCCAGCAGCCGCGGUAAUACGGAGGGUCCAAGCGUUAUCCGGAUUCACUGGGUUUAAAGGGUGCGCAGGCGGCUAAGUAAGUCAGUGGUGAAAGCCUUCGGCUCAACCGGAGAAUUGCCAUUGAAACUACUUAGCUUGAGUGCAGUAGAGGUAGGCGGAAUGUAGCAUGUAGCGGUGAAAUGCAUAGAUAUGCUACAGAACACCGAUAGCGAAAGCAGCUUACCACACUGUAACUGACGCUGAGGCACGAAAGCAUGGGUAGCAA
RNAcentral lists this ribosomal RNA (396 nucleotides) under uncultured Bacteroidota bacterium. Its description in RNAcentral is "bacterial SSU rRNA". It matches the Rfam family "Bacterial small subunit ribosomal RNA", at positions 378 to 771 of the family's 1533-position model. Lineage: Bacteria; Pseudomonadati; Bacteroidota. The record is from RNAcentral.